GAGCUGUAGCCACUGGCCUACGCCAGAGCCCCAGCAAAGCAGGAUCCGAGCCGCAUCUGCAACCUACACCACAGCUCACAGCAGCGCCGGAUCCUUAACCCACUGAGCAAGGGCAGGGACUGAACCCGCAACCUCAUGGUUCCUAGUCAGAUUCGUUAACCACUGCGCCAUGACGGGAACUCCUGGAAUAGUUUUUUAAUUAGUCUCUCUUCCUCUGGUCUGUGUCCCAUGAUCCACCUGCUGGUAUUAACUGGAUGCUCUCUGGGCACUUUGUGUGUGUCAUCCAUUCCUCAGCAGCAGCUUGUAAGGGAGCUGCUGCUACUGUGUUCAUUCUCCAGAUUGGGAAGCUGAGGCUGAUGGGAGCUGAAUAAUUUGCCCAAAGUCAGAUCCUUAAUAACAUGUCCAGGUCCUCUGCUACUAGUCUAGCUCUUUGUCAUCUCCCUGUGCCGCUUGCUGAAAGCCAGACCUGGUCAUGUCACUCCUUUCGUUAUAAAAACGAAGUGCCUCCUCUGUUCAGUGGGCACAGUGAAGAUGGACACCUCCCUGCCCUCCUUGAGGUGUCCUGCUGGUGAAGGAAACAGGCACCACACACGUAAAGGCAAACGAAAAACGGAGUUAGCAGUCAAAGGUGGCGAAGCUUCCUUGAGUUAACGGAACUCUGUGGUGGUGUCUAGUUAAAUAGCCACCUUCCACAUCUCCCCGCUGAGGCUGCCCAGUGACACCUUGGGGCUUAGAGAAGCCCAGCAGCAGAAGAAAUGCACCUGCCUUCUUCGUUAGCCCAGCCAGUCUUCCCCAGAAUCACGCGACCACAAACACCUCCUGGUAGUUCAGUGAAGGGCUUGGGGGUGUGGAAAGAGAGGGUGCCUCGUCAUUCAGAAGAGAGAGGAUGAUGGCACCCUUGGGGUCCGGCAGGACUUUAUUUAAAAGGGGUCCUGGAAGGCUGAUAGGAUUUGGCUGAACAGAAGGGAUAUCUACAAGGAGACACGUUUAGGAAACAUUUUGGAAAGUGCCUCACCAUAACAGCUGGAACUCUGUGGUUUUAUGGAGUAAACGAACACUGCGACCUUGCAGUAAGUGGAGGGUUUGUGUUAGCAGGAAGCUUGAGAAGGGGCUGUACGGGUAGAAUCUCCAGCCUUUGGCUGGUUAGGAACUUUUGAUAGUCGUUGUUGGGCAUGAUCUGAACCAAGUGGUAGAUGAGAAACUUGCGUUGAGCUGAGACAUAGUUGGGGGAUUGGAGGGGGAGAUCAGAAGCGUGAAAACCGUGGCUAGAGUGGUUGUCUGUGUAAAGUGAGGCAAGCUGAGACCGGCAGGGCCGAGUAGGGCCGAGCCGAAAAGGUAUUGGGAAGAAUCAGCAGGACAAAACAGUUGAGAAUGACUGGUGUGGGCUGCUGGGAGGACCCAGUCCCAAGAGGUCAGGCACAGUGCUCACUGCUCUUCCAGGCAUGUUCCAGAGAGGCUUUAAAUGAAGUAAAUAAAGAAGCUUCUGUUAAAAUGUUUGAUUAAAUACAUAUAGUGAGUGCUUUUAAAAUGCUGAUGGGGCAAGAUGGCAGAUAAUAUAGCAGUUUUAGGAGAGUUUAUUGUUUGAGGUUCUGGUGUAGAGAUUUGAUUCCCAGCACAAGUCCCAGUAAGUAAUGAGCCAUGUAAUAAUAGGGCUCUGCUCUUAAUUAUGGUGAGUACUCUCAAUGAAAUCGAAUUUUCUUAGUACCAUCCGUGGAAAAAAAUUUAACUCUGACUUUACAUAACAGUCCCAGAUAGAGUGUGAACUCUGUGGAUAUGGGAUAGUGACAGAAAAAAAGAGGAAACAAAUCUCCAAUAUUUGCAGAAAAUGUAAGCUCAGAUUAUAACAUAAAUAUAUGAGUGUUUGUGGCGGCUCUGUUGAAGUUGUUACUAGCUAGACUCUAAACCCCAGCACAAACCCCUUCCAGAUUUCAUCAUCACGACUGGUUCUCGGUUAGAUUUUGAGUUCCUUUAUUUUGUGGAUUCAAUUGUUUAAAAAAAAGUUCAGGGAGUUCCCAUCGUGGCUUAGCGGAAACAGAUCUGACUGGCAUCCAUGAAGAUGCAGGUUCGAUCCCUGGCCUCACUCAGUGGGUUAAGGAUCCAGCAUUGCCGUGAACUGUGGUGUAGGUCACAGAUGUGGCUCAGAUCUGACAUUGCUGUGGCUGUGGUGUAGGCUGGCAGCUACAACUCCAAUUCAACCUCUAGCCUGGAAACUUUCAUAUGCCGUGCAUAUGGCCCUAAAAAGAUGAACAAAACAAAACAAAACAAUUCAGUUUUAUUGAAUUGCUUCUGCAAAUGAUAGUGGGGGAAGGGGAGAGAUUGCUAAUGAAUACUUUUCCUUUGUUUUUUUUAAGACUUUUUGGGGUAAUGACCAACUGUAUUUUCAGCUAGUCAGCCUGUCAUGUGGGUGUGGAAUGCACCUGCAGGUGUGAGGAGAAUUAGGGGGGUGAGUCCAUUGGAACAGUCCCCAGCGAGAUGCCCUACACCAGGUUUUCUGUGGGCACCUGUAGGAAUGGGCAGCUCUCUCUCCCUGAGGCCACUGGGCACUGCCAGUAAGUGCCACCAGCCACUUAGGAAGAAAUCAUGUGUGAUAUUUAUGAUGGACGUAUGAGCGCUAGGUAUAACUCCUGGUUUGCCUUUCACAGGUCGGGUGACCGUCUGCAGAUCCUAGCCAUUGGAAAGGUGAGCGUUAUAACUCACAGGGUCAUUCUGGCCAGCCCACGGUGCCUGGUUGGCAUGUAGAGAGUGUAUUAUUUCUGUUCUCUUCUGGGGGCCUCUGGAAAGCAGACCGAGGUUUAAAAAGAUGUUGUCAAAAUUCUUUCCUUUGAAAUCAAUCUGUGUUGACUCAUAAUUUGAGUACUCCUUUAGUACAGUUAUUAAAUAUAGUUACAUAAUUAGCUCACACACAUGCCUAUUUAACCUGUGAGGGCAGAAUUUUGAUUAUGUAGGUCCCAUGGCUUAAGAAAAUGGGGUUUUCUCUUCAACUUGUCUUUAAACUAGAUCUCAAAUUAGCGGACAUUGAUUUCAGAAUUCAGCCUUUAGGAUUCCUCAGAAGUUUUUCUUGCCUUUCAUUUGUCGCUCCCUUAACAUCUCCCCUGCUUUUUUUCAUUUGCUCUUUUCAUGUUGUCAGGGUUUUUUGUUUGUUUUUACGUUUUCUCUCCUGAAACUUUGCACUCAGAGAUAGGAGUAAAGGCCUAUUUUGAGGCAGUAGGAUGGACAGUGUGCUUUCUUUCAUCUCAGUGUAUUAUUGUUUUGCUAACAUGCCUUUUUGCUCUGAAGAUAUAAAUUCACAACUGGAGAAAGAAUCCCAAACUUCAUAAUAACUCUGUAGUUUCCUGAGUGCUUAUUGUGUGCCAAGUACAGGGCAUUUUAGUACAUUAGCUGAUGUCUUCUCAUCCAUAGUGAAGAGACGAAGGCGCCUGGGAGAGUCAGGCCUGGCUGCUUGCUGUGACCGUGCUCCUGACCUGUUCUCUUGUUCCCCCUUGUUCAGUCCCAGGGACAGGGUGGUUUUUAUUAUCUUUAAAGACCUAAGAGAUCUUGGGGCCCUGACUUUGAUGGAUGGCAUUUGGCCUAUUUUAAUUACAAAAACUUAUCAAAUGUUAACAUAAAUUACCUGUGUCUAGUGGGUUCAUAGCCCCAAAUAGUGUCGUUUGGGGUCUUAAAGUGUGUUGAACUGAUUUUGAUGUGUUUAUAAGAGACAUUAUCACUGUUUGAAAAACCCGAUAGUGCUCUUUCCUCCCUGAUUUCUAAUUCUGGCAUCUAGAAUGCAGCUGAGACAAGAGCACGUCUGUGAGACAAACAGAGAUCUCAUGAGAGCUCAUGGAUUAACUUUUUUCCACCACAGCAGCAGGUUUUUCUUAAAGCGUUGUUUGAAAAUUAACAUUACUGAAAAUUUAAGCUUACCUAAAGGGAUUCUAGUUUUGAUCUCAAUUAUAAAAAGUAGGAAGACAUUUCAUAAAAAUCUGUGUCCCCUUAGCACUAGAAUGCUUUGGCUGUGAGUGGGAUAAGCUAGAAGUAAGCUGCCUUUGAUAGACGUGAGCAGUGUGUGAUAACUGUCUCUAUCUAUUCAACUACUUCCUGUUCAAUCUCACAUCGCAGCUGGAAAGCAAUUUCCUCACUUGACCCAUUUUUCUUCUGUAUUGUGUCUUUCUUCUGGUUCUUUAACAAAUAGUUUGAAGGAAUGGAGUGUCGUAAAGCCUUACACACUUGUAAGGUGAGGCAAUUCAGGCACCUGCUUUGGAAUAAGCAUACUCUCUUGUGUUUCAUUAUUUGGCUCCCUGGUUGGGCGGAUAACAGUUUUGCUCCUUUACUUUCAUGUCACUGUUUUCAGAAGAGAGAGAUUUUAAAGCUUGAAAAUGGUAGGCAUUUGAGUAAAGACAAAAACAGGUGUAUGGGGGUAAGGAUCUUGUUUUAGUAACAUGGACAAUUUAUGAAUGUUAUAAUUUUAGUAAGCAUAUAUGCAGUAAGUCUAGCAUUAAUAGAUCCACAUUGUAAAAUGCCUGUUUAUCCAAAGACGGAGGUCUCUUGGUAUCAUUGGCUUGUUACUGUUAAUGCCACCCUUAGUCACAGGUAUGACGUUAUCAUGUGAUAACUUUUGUCCCACACCCAUGGCUUAUAGAGUGCUUGGGUUGCCUUCUCUUUUUGCCAGAUCAAAUUCUAAAUGUCCUAACACACCGAACAUAACGCCAGUCUCCUUCUUGAAACCAUCUCUGACUUUACGUGUAUAAGCUCUCUCUUUUCUGUUUCUGCUCACACCUUUGGUGACCUCACUUAGCCCUGUGACUUUAAAUUUACCACACAUACCCUGAAGACUCCUAGGUUUUUGCUUGUUUUGUGAGGGGGUUUUUUGGCCAGCCUGGACUGCAUAGAUAUUUGCAUAUCUAGUUGCCUUCUCACCACCUGCACAGGACUGUUUAGUGAGCAUUUCCAGCCCACAGGGCCAGACCUGGCCCUGCUCUUGCCCCAGGACCACUCUGCCUGCACUCCUCUCUGUCUUCCUCGAGAGCGCUUACCCCCUUCUGGUCGCUCCAGUCUAAACCCUAGAGUCUUCCUUGGCUCCCUCUUUCUUUCCAUGUACAGUACAUAAGAAACUAAGAGAUUUCUAAGUGAUCCAUGGGUCAAAGAAGAGAAAUACUUGGAACUAAAUUUAAAAAACCAAAUACAACAUAUCAGAAAUCAUAUGAUGCUGCUAAGCUGUGCUAAGAGGGAAAUUUAUGGCAUUAAAUGUCUCUAUUGGAAAAGGAGAACAAUCUCAGAUCAGUAAUUUAAGCGUUUAUCUUAUUCCAAAAAGUGAAGAACAAACUAAACCCAAUAGCAAGUAAAAAGAAGGAGAUAAAGGUUAGAGUGGAAGUCGGUGACGUAGAAACAGAAAGCAGUAGAAAGGAUCAAUAGAACCAAAAUUAAUUGGUUAAUUGAAAAUUAAUUUCAGCCGGUUAAUUGAAGAUAUCAGCAAAAUUGACAAACCUGUAGCUAGAUUGACCAAGAAAAAGAGAGAAGAUACAAGGUACCAAAAUCAAGAAUGAAGAGGGGCGUUGAGUAUUGAUCUUACAGAAAUUAAGUUGAUAGUCUGAAUAACUUUGUACCAACAAGUUAGAUAGCUUAUAUGAAAUGGACAAAAUUCUAGAAAUAGGCAAAUUGCCAAAACUGACUCAAGAAAAAUGAAAAGUCUGAAUAGACAUAUAAUGAGUAAAGAAAUUGAAUUGAUAAUUAACAAUUUUGCCACAAAGAAAAGCCCAAGUUAUUUUGGCUUCAGUGGUAAAUUCUGUCAGACAUAUAAAGAACUAAU
This 5782-nucleotide long non-coding RNA is filed under the name Sus scrofa (pig). RNAcentral's name for it is "lncRNA (ENSSSCG00015039351.1)". Lineage: Eukaryota; Metazoa; Chordata; Mammalia; Artiodactyla; Suidae. The record is from RNAcentral.